UGCCCUGUGGUGUAAUGGUAGCACAGCAGCCUCUGGAGUUGCUUGUUUAGGUUCGAGUCCUAACAGGGCAG
Molecule: transfer RNA, 71 nt
Filed under: Candidatus Omnitrophica bacterium CG1_02_49_16
Lineage: Bacteria; Pseudomonadati; Candidatus Omnitrophota
Description: tRNA-Gln
Rfam family: tRNA
About the family: Transfer RNA (tRNA) molecules are approximately 80 nucleotides in length. Their secondary structure includes four short double-helical elements and three loops (D, anti-codon, and T loops).
Source: RNAcentral